This 230-nucleotide ribosomal RNA is filed under the name Trachymyrmex cornetzi. Its description in RNAcentral is "partial large subunit ribosomal RNA". The record is from RNAcentral. Lineage: Eukaryota; Metazoa; Arthropoda; Insecta; Hymenoptera; Formicidae.
GAAUUUUAUAUAAUAUUUAUUAGAAAGAUAAAUUAAAUAAUUUUAUGUUAAUAUAUAUUAGAUAUUAUAUUUAGUUGGGAGGAUUUUUAAAUUUUAUUAACUUUAAAAUAGUAUAAAAUAAUAAUUAUUAGGAUUUAAGAUUAAUUAAUUAUUAAAUUAUAAUAGAAUUAAUUACCUUAGGGAUAACAGCGUAAUAAUUUUGGAAAGAUCAUAUUGAUAAAAUUGAUUGC